Molecule: non-coding RNA, 24 nt
Filed under: Arabidopsis thaliana (thale cress)
Lineage: Eukaryota; Viridiplantae; Streptophyta; Magnoliopsida; Brassicales; Brassicaceae
Source: RNAcentral
AGCAACGUUGGUACUGCGGUAGGA